AAAAGGAUAUUAAGUGAAUAGAAUUGGGAUAUAGAUGGAAUAUAAUGAAAUAGAGCCACUUUGAGGUUCCCUAUGAAAUGAGGCAUGGAACGGAGCCACUACGAAGAAGUUCCGGGAGUUACGAAGGAAACUUCAGACUCAUAUUAUUCAUGGGUUGAGAACAGGGGUUGAACUCUAUGAGGUCAAAUCUCCCGUUGUUCCU
RNAcentral lists this long non-coding RNA (202 nucleotides) under Musa acuminata (dwarf banana). RNAcentral's name for it is "long non-coding RNA (MACU_LNC006682)". Lineage: Eukaryota; Viridiplantae; Streptophyta; Magnoliopsida; Zingiberales; Musaceae. The record is from RNAcentral.